Molecule: small nuclear RNA, 158 nt
Filed under: Sorghum bicolor (sorghum)
Lineage: Eukaryota; Viridiplantae; Streptophyta; Magnoliopsida; Poales; Poaceae
Description: snRNA U2
Rfam family: U2 spliceosomal RNA
About the family: U2 is a small nuclear RNA (snRNA) component of the spliceosome (involved in pre-mRNA splicing). Complementary binding between U2 snRNA (in an area lying towards the 5' end but 3' to hairpin I) and the branchpoint sequence (BPS) of the intron results the bulging out of an unpaired adenosine, on the BPS, which initiates a nucleophilic attack at the intronic 5' splice site, thus starting the first of two transesterification reactions that mediate splicing.
Source: RNAcentral
AAAUUUCGGGAACUAAACAAGGCCUAAGAUCAAGUGUAGUAUUUGUUCUUAUCAGUUUGAUAUCUGAUAUGUGGGUCAUGUGCCUACUUUGAUAUUAAAUUUAUUUUUUGUGGGGGAGGGCCCAACACAGUGGCUCCCUCGCGCGUCGCGCACCCCAA